This 57-nucleotide transfer RNA is filed under the name Dipodomys ordii (Ord's kangaroo rat). It matches the Rfam family "tRNA", at positions 8 to 63 of the family's 71-position model. Rfam says of the family: Transfer RNA (tRNA) molecules are approximately 80 nucleotides in length. Their secondary structure includes four short double-helical elements and three loops (D, anti-codon, and T loops). Lineage: Eukaryota; Metazoa; Chordata; Mammalia; Rodentia; Heteromyidae. The record is from Rfam by way of RNAcentral.
UGGCUCAGUGGUAGAGUGCUUGCCUCACAUGCAUGAGGCCUUGGGUUCAAUUCCUUA